Long non-coding RNA from Triticum dicoccoides, 2213 nucleotides. RefSeq lists it as uncharacterized. The record is from RefSeq and is a predicted model, not a curated record. Lineage: Eukaryota; Viridiplantae; Streptophyta; Magnoliopsida; Poales; Poaceae. The transcript has 4 exons.
UCCUCCUCCACACUCCUCUUUCCUCUCCCCAGCCUCAUGUUCUUCUCCCCCUUCCUGUACCUUCCAUCCCACUCCCCCUCCUCCAAUUCGACCCUCCCCUCCCGCCCCCCGCCUAAAAAUCCAGUCUUGCUUAGGGACCGUCCUUCCUCGGAAGCGGAGAUCCUCGUCGGGAGGGGAUCCCCUGUCGUCGAGCCCCGGCGCAGCGGCCUCUCCUGUACGGGCCACGUGCUUUCCUGGUUCCGGCGAGGGAGCGGGGGAGAGUGAGGAGCGCACCUGAAUGAGCUGCUUCUCCUGCUUCGGCCCGGCCCUGGAGGCGGAGGGCGGCAAGCCGGUACCCGAUGCCAAGGACCCCGCGCCAAGGAUGGCGCUGCGCCGGAUCAAGUGCGCCGGCUGGAUCUUGCAAAUCCCUCCCCACCUCUAGCCUUAGCUUUAGCUUCGCUUGGCGUUGCUCCUUGCUCUGUUACCGCGGUCGUCGCCGGUGUCGUGUUGUUGUUUAUUGUAGUACUACGCUUCUACUCUUGCUUGCUUACUGCGUGCGAGCCAUGGUUGUGGUGGGUGGAAGCAUAGGAAUGGGCUGAGCUGCGAUCUUGUGUGCUCCUUUCGCUACACUUAGUGAGGAAGAGAUCGGAAUGCAUAUGGUGCUGCUAGGAUUGUUCUUGGCUCUGGUUUAGUUAAGAGAGAGCGUUGGAUUGGAAGUUGAGUAAUCCUUUUUCUGGCAAUAAUAAAAAAUCAGCUGCUUUUAACUGAAUAAAAUGCCACGCAAGUUCAGUUAUAUCUGUUGCAGGAGUUCAAAAAUCUGAAGAAACGGAGCUCAAACCAAGUUAAAAAUUGUUUCCUUCAUAACUUAGUUGUUUUUUGGUUAAUUUGUUGUUAUGGACAGUACAAAUACACACUGUUGUGUAGUACAUGUGUGUAUUGUAAUUGUGGUUUGGAGUUCAGAAAAAGAUAACAAAAAGGUUCAUAGAAGAACCCAAAACUUUCGGUAGUUUUGUAAGCCCAAAUUUCAGUUCAACAUGUUUUCUAUCAUCAGCUCAUUAAGAACCCCAGAAACGGUUCAAUGUGUGCGUUCAAAAAAAUAGUGUGGCUAUAUAUAAAAAAAUUAGUAGCUCGGCAAAAAGAAGUUUAACCGAUUCAGUGCAAGUUUUGCUUCUGAAAAACUGAUAUUGUUCAUCAUGUACUGAUCCAUUUCAACUGUGGAUGUGUUUAAAAAAACAGAUGUUCAACAUGUACUGAAAAUGCCUUUAAAAAGAUGAGUAAAUAGCAUCAGUGAGUUCGACUACCUAUAUUGAAAAAGUCCAUUGACAAAAGAAAUAUCAGUACAGUAUGAUGCUUCAGUUAGAAGAUCACUAAUGCUAUUUCCUUCAUAGUUUCCCUGUUGUUUCAACUUUUGUUUUAACCUUUCCGUCUGUAAAUUCUGCAUCUUUUUUUGUUUACAGACUAUACGCAUGAUACUUGUACUGGGACUAGAGUACAAGUAUUACUUCCAUGCAAGUUCAAUUGGAAAAACACUUUAAGUUUCAGGAAUUGAAGGAUUCUUUUAGGAAGAAAUAGCCUUUUGAGCUACUGAUGAUGGCUGUCAUUUGUGCCCCGAAGGGCCAACGACGGUCGCCGCUCCUCGACCCUAUUCCCGUUCGUCACCCAACUCAACAGUCCACCUUGGUGCUCCAGCACCGGCCCCUCAAAGAGCUGGCUACAGGCCAUCCGUUGCUCCGCCCCUGGAUGCUGCCAUCUGGUGGCUGGUUGUCUCACUCCAAUGCACCUCCCUCUCUUUGUGUACUGUUCUCUCUCAAGACUGGAAGUUAUCCCUGAUGUACUCAACGCAAGUUCAACAUCAUCAUCUAAAAAGGAAGCAAAAAAGAAAAUCUAUUUGCUCAGGGAUGCAAGCAAAUUUCUGGAGCACAGACUCAUCGGCGCAUCAGCGACCAUUCAUUCAACAACAGUUCAAUUAUAAAAAGAACAUCAGUUCAAAAAAAUAUGCAGGAGGGUCGGGGGAGAAGCAGAAACUCUGGGUGCAUGAUGGAAAAAAUUGGAAGUUCUUGUUUAGAUGUUCAGGAUACCCUUCUCUCAUUUCAUUUAUGUUGAGGAUAGCAGGUGCAUGAUGGAAAAUUGUGUAUCAUGUAGUUCUUGUUUAGAUGUCAUGCAAGUUCAAAAAUUGUCGAUUUUGCCAUUGGAGAGAACCCGUUGGUUGCAUUGUUUUUUCAGUGUGACGUCCC